ACCCAGUUGCGUGGUUGGGAAGC
RNAcentral lists this small nuclear RNA (23 nucleotides) under Arabidopsis thaliana (thale cress). RNAcentral describes it as "snRNA_08371". Lineage: Eukaryota; Viridiplantae; Streptophyta; Magnoliopsida; Brassicales; Brassicaceae. The record is from RNAcentral.